Molecule: ribosomal RNA, 327 nt
Filed under: uncultured bacterium
Lineage: Bacteria
Description: bacterial SSU rRNA
Rfam family: Bacterial small subunit ribosomal RNA
Source: RNAcentral
AUUGAACGCUGGCGGCGUGCUUAACACAUGCAAGUCGUGCGGUAACAGGCGUAGCAAUACGUGCUGACGAGCGGCGAACGGGUGCGUAAUACAUGGGAAUCUGCCCUUUAGUGGGGAAUAACCCGGCGAAAGCCGGGCUAAUGCCGCAUAAGAUCUUCGGAUGAAAGCGGGGAGUCGUAAGAACCUCGCGCUGAUGGAUGAGCCCAUGUCGGAUUAGCUAGNGGUGAGGUAACGGCUCACCAAGGCGACGAUCCGUAGCUGGUCUGAGAGGACGGCCAGCCACACUGGGACUGAGACACGGUCCAGACUCCUACGGGAGGCAGCAGU